This 707-nucleotide ribosomal RNA is filed under the name Cladosporium herbarum. RNAcentral describes it as "partial large subunit ribosomal RNA". It matches the Rfam family "Eukaryotic large subunit ribosomal RNA", at positions 109 to 841 of the family's 3401-position model. The record is from RNAcentral. Lineage: Eukaryota; Fungi; Ascomycota; Dothideomycetes; Cladosporiales; Cladosporiaceae.
UCAAAUUUGAAAUCUGGCUGUCUUCGACGUCCGAGUUGUAAUUUGUAGAGGAUGCUUCUGAGUGGCCACCGACCUAAGUUCCUUGGAACAGGACGUCAUAGAGGGUGAGAAUCCCGUAUGCGGUCGGAAAGGCGCUCUAUACGUAGCUCCUUCGACGAGUCGAGUUGUUUGGGAAUGCAGCUCUAAAUGGGAGGUAAAUUUCUUCUAAAGCUAAAUAUUGGCCAGAGACCGAUAGCGCACAAGUAGAGUGAUCGAAAGAUGAAAAGCACUUUGGAAAGAGAGUUAAAAAGCACGUGAAAUUGUUAAAAGGGAAGGGAUUGCAACCAGACUUGCUCGCGGUGUUCCGCCGGUCUUCUGACCGGUCUACUCGCCGCGUUGCAGGCCAGCAUCGUCUGGUGCCGCUGGAUAAGACUUGAGGAAUGUAGCUCCCUCGGGAGUGUUAUAGCCUCUUGUGAUGCAGCGAGCGCCGGGCGAGGUCCGCGCUUCGGCUAGGAUGCUGGCGUAAUGGUCGUAAUCCGCCCGUCUUGAAACACGGACCAAGGAGUCUAACAUCUAUGCGAGUGUUCGGGUGUCAAACCCCUACGCGUAAUGAAAGUGAACGGAGGUGAGAACCGCAAGGUGCAUCAUCGACCGAUCCUGAUGUCUUCGGAUGGAUUUGAGUAAGAGCAUAGCUGUUGGGACCCGAAAGAUGGUGAACUAUGCCUGAA